UACGAAGGGGGCUAGCGUUGUUCGGAAUCACUGGGCGUAAAGCGCACGCAGGCGGAUCGUUAAGUCAGGGGUGAAAUCCCGAGGCUCAACCUCGGAACUGCCUUUGAUACUGGCGAUCUUUGAGUCCGGGAGAGGUGAGUGGAACUCCGAGUGUAGAGGUGAAAUUCGUAGAUAUUCGGGAGAACACCAGUGGCGAAGGCGGCUCACUGGCCCGGUACUGACGCUCAUGUGCGAAAGCGUGGGGAGCAAACAGG
RNAcentral lists this ribosomal RNA (254 nucleotides) under uncultured bacterium. RNAcentral's name for it is "partial 16S ribosomal RNA". It matches the Rfam family "Bacterial small subunit ribosomal RNA", at positions 524 to 776 of the family's 1533-position model. The record is from RNAcentral.